This 393-nucleotide ribosomal RNA is filed under the name uncultured bacterium. Its description in RNAcentral is "partial 16S ribosomal RNA". It matches the Rfam family "Bacterial small subunit ribosomal RNA", at positions 523 to 918 of the family's 1533-position model. The record is from RNAcentral.
AUACGGAGGACGCGAGCGUUAUCCGGAUUCAUUGGGUUUAAAGGGUGCGCAGGCGGCCGUGCAAGUCAGCGGUGAAAGCCCGGGGCUCAACCCCGGAAGUGCCGUUGAUACUGCAUGGCUGGAAUGCGGUCGAGGCGGGCGGAACGGGGGGUGUAGCGGUGAAAUGCGUAGAUAUGCCACAGAACGCCGAUAGCGGAGGCAGCUCGCCAGGCCUGCAUUGACGCUCGGGCACGAAAGCGUGGGGAUCGAACAGGAUUAGAUACCCUGGUAGUCCACGCCGUAAACGAUGGGCGCUCGUCGUCGGCGGCAGACAGUCGGCGGCCAAGCGAAAGCGAUAAGCGCCCCACCUGGGGAGUACGGUCGCAAGGCUUAAACUUAAAGGAAUUGACGGGG